GGGUUGCGGACAGUGUCUGGUGGGUAGUUUGACUGGGGCGGUCUCCUCCCAAAGAGUAACGGAGGAGCACGAAGGUUAGCUAAUCCUGGUCGGACAUCAGGAGGUUAGUGCAAUGGCAUAAGCUAGCUUGACUGCGAGCGUGACGGCGCGAGCAGGUGCGAAAGCAGGUCAUAGUGAUCCGGUGGUUCUGAAUGGAAGGGCCAUCGCUCAACGGAUAAAAGGUACUCCGGGGAUAACAGGCUGAUACCGCCCAAGAGUUCAUAUCGACGGCGGUGUUUGGCACCUCGAUGUCGGCUCAUCACAUCCUGGGGCUGAAGUAGGUCCCAAGGGUAUGGCUGUUCGCCAUUUAAAGUGGUACGCGAGCUGGGUUUAGAACGUCGUGAGACAGUUCGGUCCCUAUCUGCCGUGGGCGCUGGAGAAUUGAGGGGGGCUGCUCCUAGUACGAGAGGACCGGAGUGGACGCAUCACUGGUGUUCGGGUUGUCAUGCCAAUGGCACUGCCCGGUAGCUAAAUGCGGAAGAGAUAAGUGCUGAAAGCAUCUAAGCACGAAACUUGCCCCGAGAUGAGUUCUCCCUGAGACUAUAAGUCUCCUGAAGGAACGUUGAAGACGACGACGUUGAUAGGCCGGGUGUGUAAGCGCAGCGAUGCGUUGAGCUAACCGGUACUAAUGAACCGUGAGGCUUAACCUUACAACGCCGAAG
This 701-nucleotide ribosomal RNA is filed under the name Klebsiella variicola. Its description in RNAcentral is "bacterial LSU rRNA". It matches the Rfam family "Bacterial large subunit ribosomal RNA", at positions 2242 to 2925 of the family's 2925-position model. Lineage: Bacteria; Pseudomonadati; Pseudomonadota; Gammaproteobacteria; Enterobacterales; Enterobacteriaceae. The record is from RNAcentral.